GCUGUUGUACCUAUGAUGGUAUGCAGGAGUUCCCUUUAAAUACGCACUUCCGAUCAGUAGAUGAGUUGCGUUUCAAUUGUUUGGCGCGCAGGUGGUUGUCUGUUGCUGGAAGAACAAUCUCUGUGAUUUUUAGAUGUCUUAAAUUCUCAUGUUGGUUAUCUUGGGCUGGAGGAGUAUCAGACGCUGAACGAGCAGCAUAGCAUACUGCACGGGAGCAUUGACAAUCUAUGGAAGUAUAUGGUGAUGAUUGUAGCCCUUUAAUGGUGUGUGAUCAGCUAAAGUCUCAAAGGUAUUUAUUUUAAAUGUUAUUGUGAGGCUAGUAUACCUAGCAUUUUAAUAUUGUUGACUAAUAAAUUUAUAGAUGGUGGUUUCUUUUUGAAAUUGCAAUUUGUUUUUCUUUUUUUUUAAUAUUUGUGUAAUUAAAUUAGCUG
This is a long non-coding RNA of Sinocyclocheilus rhinocerous, 431 nucleotides long. RefSeq lists it as uncharacterized. The record is from RefSeq and is a predicted model, not a curated record. The transcript has 3 exons. NCBI's taxonomy places the organism in Eukaryota, Metazoa, Chordata, Actinopteri, Cypriniformes, Cyprinidae.